RNAcentral lists this ribosomal RNA (140 nucleotides) under uncultured bacterium. Its description in RNAcentral is "partial 16S ribosomal RNA". It matches the Rfam family "Bacterial small subunit ribosomal RNA", at positions 355 to 509 of the family's 1533-position model. The record is from RNAcentral.
UGGGGAAUAUUGCACAAUGGGGGAAACCCGUGAUGCAGCGACGCCGCGUGAGCGAAGAAGUAUUUCGGUAUGUAAAGCUCUAUCAGCAGGGAAGAAAAAAUGACGGUACCUGACUAAGAAGCACCGGCUAAAUACGUGCC